CAAGGAUGAAAGACGGUUUCGGCUGUCACUUACAGAUGGACCCGCGGCGCAUUAGCUAGUUGGUGAGGUAACGGCUCACCAAGGCGACGAUGCGUAGCCGACCUGAGAGGGUGAUCGGCCACACUGGGACUGAGACACGGGCCAGACUCCUACGGGAGGCAGCAGUAGGGAAUCUUCCGCAAUGGACGAAAGUCUGACGGAGCAACGCCGCGUGAGUGAUGAAGGUUUUCGGAUCGUAAAGCUCUGUUGUUAGGGAAGAACAAGUGCAAGAGUAACUGCUUGCACCUUGACGGUACCUAACCAGAAAGCCACGGCUAACUACGUGCCAGCAGCCGCGGUAAUACGUAGGUGGCAAGCGUUGUCCGGAAUUAUUGGGCGUAAAGGGCUCGCAGGCGGUUUCUUAAGUCUGAUGUGAAAGCCCCCGGCUCAACCGGGGAGGGUCAUUGGAAACUGGGAAACUUGAGUGCAGAAGAGGAGAGUGGAAUUCCACGUGUAGCGGUGAAAUGCGUAGAGAUGUGGAGNGAACACCAGUGGCGAAGGCGACUCUCUGGUCUGUAACUGACGCUGAGGAGCGAAAGCGUGGGGAGCGAACAGGAUUAGAUACCCUGGUAGUCCACGCCGUAAACGAUGAGUGCUAAGUGUUAGGGGGUUUCCGCCCCUUAGUGCUGCAGCUAACGCAUUAAGCACUCCGCCUGGGGAGUACGGUCGCNAAGACUGAAACUCAAAGGAAUUGACGGGGGCCCGCACAAGCGGUGGAGCAUGUGGUUCAAUUCGAAGCAACGCGAAGAACCUUACCAGGUCUUGACAUCCUCUGACAACCCUAGAGAUAGGGCUUUCCCUUCGGGGACAGAGUGACAGGUGGUGCAUGGUUGUCGUCAGCUCGUGUCGUGAGAUGUUGGGUUAAGUCCCGCAACGAGCGCAACCCUUGAUCUUAGUUGCCAGCAUUCAGUUGGGCACUCUAAGGUGACUGCCGGUGACAAACCGGAGGAAGGUGGGGAUGACGUCAAAUCAUCAUGCCCCUUAUGACCUGGGCUACACACGUGCUACAAUGGACAGAACAAAGGGCUGCGAGACCGCAAGGUUUAGCCAAUCCCACAAAUCUGUUCUCAGUUCGGAUCGCAGUCUGCAACUCGACUGCGUGAAGCUGGAAUCGCUAGUAAUCGCGGAUCAGCAUGCCGCGGUGAAUACGUUCCCGGGCCUUGUACACACCGCCCGUCACAC
RNAcentral lists this ribosomal RNA (1221 nucleotides) under uncultured Bacillus sp. RNAcentral describes it as "bacterial SSU rRNA". It matches the Rfam family "Bacterial small subunit ribosomal RNA", at positions 195 to 1402 of the family's 1533-position model. Lineage: Bacteria; Bacillati; Bacillota; Bacilli; Caryophanales; Bacillaceae. The record is from RNAcentral.